AAGCUCGUAGUUGAAUUUCGGGGUUAGUAGGUUGGUCAUGCCUCUGGUAUGUACUGGUCUCACUGAUUCCUCCUUCCUUAUGAACCGUAAUGCCAUUAAUUUGGUGUUGCGGGGAAUUUGGACUGUUACUUUGAAAAAAUUAGAGUGUUUAAAGCAAGCUAACGCUUGAAUACAUUAGCAUGGAAUAAUGAAAUAGGACGUUCGAUCUUAUUUUGUUGGUUUCUAGGAUUGACGUAAUGAUUAAUAGGGAUAGUUGG
Molecule: ribosomal RNA, 257 nt
Filed under: uncultured Glomus
Lineage: Eukaryota; Fungi; Glomeromycota; Glomeromycetes; Glomerales; Glomeraceae
Description: partial 18S ribosomal RNA
Rfam family: Eukaryotic small subunit ribosomal RNA
Source: RNAcentral